RNAcentral lists this ribosomal RNA (461 nucleotides) under Clostridioides difficile. Its description in RNAcentral is "bacterial LSU rRNA". It matches the Rfam family "Bacterial large subunit ribosomal RNA", at positions 1189 to 1655 of the family's 2925-position model. The record is from RNAcentral. Lineage: Bacteria; Bacillati; Bacillota; Clostridia; Peptostreptococcales; Peptostreptococcaceae.
UACUACCGAAGCUACGGCAUCAGUAAUGAUGGGUAGGGGAGCUUCCCAUACGGGUUGAAGCAUGACCGUAAGGACAUGUGGACAGUAUGGGAGUGAGAAUGUUGGCAUGAGUAGCGAGAUGUGGGUGGGAAUCCCACAGGCCGUAAACCCAAGGUUUCCAGGGGAAGGUUCGUCCACCCUGGGUUAGUCGGGACCUAAGCUGAGGCCGAAAGGCGUAGGUGAUGGACAACAGGUUGAUAUUCCUGUACUACCGAUAACCGUUUGAGAGAAGGGAUGACACAGUAGGAUAAGCUAAGCACACUGUUGGUUAUGUGUGCCCAAGCAUUGAGGCAGGCAAAGUAGGCAAAUCCGCUUUGAUACUUCUGGGAUGUGAUGGGGCGCGAAAUGUAGUAGCGAAGUAGCUGAUUUCACACUGUCAAGAAAAGUCUCUAUCGAGGUUAAAGGUACCCGUACCGCAAACC